Rhinolophus ferrumequinum (greater horseshoe bat) is the source of this 2504-nucleotide long non-coding RNA. The record is from Ensembl. NCBI's taxonomy places the organism in Eukaryota, Metazoa, Chordata, Mammalia, Chiroptera, Rhinolophidae.
AUUUAGACCAGCAAUACAUGAGGGUUUUAGUUAUUCUGCAUAUUGGACAACACUUGAUACUAUUAGUCUUUUAAAUUUUAGCCAUCAUAUGGGUGCAUAGUAGUAUUUAUGUUUUUAAUUUGCAUUUCCCUGAUAACUAAUGAUGUUUAGCAUCUUUUUAUGUGUUUGUUGACCUUUCAGGUAUCUUUUGUGGAGUGUCUGUUCAAAUGUUGCCCAUUCUUAGUUACUUAGGUUGUUUCUUUUAUUUUUGAGUUGUACUUCUUUAUAGAAUCUGGAUACAAGUCUUUUGUCAGAAUAAAUUUUUACUAAUAUAUAUGUAUUCCCAUUGGUUCAAGCCACAGUUCUCCCUGCUAUUCCUUAAACAGGAUCAGAGCCUUUGAAGUCUCUUUGUUGCCUUGAAUGCUGCUCUCCCAGAUACACACACAGCUUGCUUCCAGACCGCCUCCAGUCACUAUUCAAAUGGUCCUUUUUGGUGAGAUAUUUCUUAACCGUCCUAUUUAAAAUAGUAAUACUCACGACCUGGCAUUCCCCCUUUUCUCCAUUUUUUUUCUCCAUGGCACAUAUUCACUGACAGCUGUGUUUGUUGUUUACCUGUCCUGUGUAAAGUAUUGACCAGAAUGAACCCCAACCAUAAAGAACAUGGAAAAUAACUCUACAACCUGUUUAGGGGAUUCCCUCCUCUCUUAGAGGCUGGUACAUUCAGGGAUGACAAACCAAAUUCCUGUGCCUGGUAGAUGAAGGAAAGGUUGGUUUCAUUAAUGUAGUCACCAAUCUCUUCAUAAGUAUCCAAGGCAAAUAGCCUAGCUCCAUCCGCUCUAACAGAUCCUCCCUAAAUGACCGCACCGAGAGCAAAAAGGCAACCGAGUCCCGCGUGCCAAGAAAAAAACUUGAAUCUCGACCAUCGGAGACAUGUAGAGAGCUCUUCUCGGCCAAUGCUUUGCACAGGAAGAAGGUGAAGACGACUCGUUCAAGGCCCAAUACAAGUUAGGGACAAAGUUGAGGCUCGCACCCAGACCUCGGCCCCGGCCCACGCAUCCUUUCCAGCCCUCUCUCACGGGAAGUGACGGACGGAGCUCUCCUUCGCGUCCGCUAAGGGGACUCACGCGGGGAAGAAGGACCCGCGGAAGAGUGGGCGGGACGGCCCACCGGAAACUCCCUCCCUCCGGGAUCCGGAAAGACAGAUGCUGCGGCCAAGCUUCCGGAAGUGGUGGGCUUUGUUUCCGCGGGGAAGACACUCCAACACGGACGGGGCAGGCGGCGAAUAUUGACAGGUCAGCCAGUAAAGGAACGUGCAUUGUCAGGCAAGUUAAGGAAGUUUUUAUGGUAAGAGAGAAAAGUAUAUAUCAGACUGAGCAAAGACCACUACAGUCUGGACUACACCCCUAAAGGAGACUUGCAGCCCCGAAAGAGGGGGUGAGGAGUGUUUUAUAGGGGCUCUGAUGAAAGGGUGGCAUUGCUUGAACAGAAAAUGUUGACUGCCUGUAAGCCAGUAGCUAUACUGUUUUGUUUUCUUGUAUCACAAGUUCGGCUCUGUCUGUAGGUACAGGUCAACAGACAUUUUGUUGUUUUCUUGCAGACAUGGCUUUGUCCAUAAGUCAAGGUCUCUGAGACCUGACAUUCAUAGACCUAGCAUUAAGUCAAGGUCUCUAACAUUCAGGGACCUAACAAAUAUGGUUACGUCUUUCUAGUUAUUUAAGUUGUGUCUCAUGCAUCUUUUAUAUCUUUAUACUUACCCUGUCUUUUCCUUCUUAAACUUAUGUCUAAGAAAGGGCCAAUCUUAUUAAUUAUUUAAUAGUUGUACCCUCUGGUUAAAUUGCAUGUGUGAACUGAAUAUCUUUGAGUCAAGUGUAAUACUUCUUUUCUCUAGAAUUAUUUUUUUCCUUAAUAUGUGUGUCUAGGUUCUGCUAAAAUUUAAAUAAAACAGUGAGAUCAGAAAGCUAAAAAGGCUAAGUUCUAGUGAGGUUUCAUUAAUACCAUAGGUAACCUGUGGUCUAAAAAAUUCCUGAUGGACGGCUGGUUGGCUCAGUGGUUGGAGCGAGGUGCUCAUAACCCCAGCGUCGCUGAUUCGAUUCCCACAUGGACCAGUGAGAAGCAACAGCUUGAGCUUGGAGCUGAGCCGCCAGUGGGUGGCCAGUUGGCUCAGUGGUUGGAGUGUGGUGCUCAUAACACCAAGGAUGCUGGUUCGAUACCCACAUCGGCCACUAUGAGCUAUGCCCUCUACAACUAGAUUGAAAGCAAUAACUUGACCCUGCAGCUGAGCUGUGCACCCCACAACUAGAUUGAAAAAACAAUGACUUGACAUGGAGCUGGUGGGUCCUGGAAAAAAACACUGUUCCCCAAUAUUCCCCAAUAAAAAUUAAAUAAAAAAAAAUUCCUGGUAUUCUGCACCUAGUUGUCUAUUGGGGAAGCUGCCCCUCAGCCAUGCAGCUGAGCUUACCUCAUCUGUACAACCAGAAGAGCAGGCAACAACCUUGAUCCUUUCCCAGGAAUGAUAAAGGAAGCUA